AGAGUUUGAUCCUGGCUCAGAUUGAACGCUGGCGGCAUGCCUUACACAUGCAAGUCGAACGGCAGCACGGGGGCAACCCUGGUGGCGAGUGGCGAACGGGUGAGUAACGCAUCGGAAUGUACCCAGUAGUGGGGGAUAACUAGUCGAAAGAUUAGCUAAUACCGCAUACGCACUGAGGUGGAAAGCGGGGGAUCGCAAGGCCUCGCGCUAUUGGAGCAGCCGAUGUCCGAUUAGGUAGUUGGUGGGGUAAAGGCCUACCAAGCCUGCGAUCGGUAACUGGUCUGAGAGGACGACCAGUCACACUGGGACUGAGACACGGCCCAGACUCCUACGGGAGGCAGCAGUGGGGAAUUUUGGACAAUGGGCGCAAGCCUGAUCCAGCAAUGCCGCGUGUGUGAAGAAGGCCUUCGGGUUGUAAAGCACUUUUGGCGGGAGCGAAACGGCGUUUGCUAAUACCAGACGCUAAUGACGGUACCCGCAGAAUAAGCACCGGCUAACUACGUG
Molecule: ribosomal RNA, 504 nt
Filed under: uncultured bacterium
Lineage: Bacteria
Description: bacterial SSU rRNA
Rfam family: Bacterial small subunit ribosomal RNA
Source: RNAcentral